This 323-nucleotide ribosomal RNA is filed under the name uncultured bacterium. RNAcentral's name for it is "bacterial SSU rRNA". It matches the Rfam family "Bacterial small subunit ribosomal RNA", at positions 28 to 334 of the family's 1533-position model. The record is from RNAcentral.
GAUGAACGCUGGCGGCGUGCUUAACACAUGCAAGUCGAACGGAAUUCAAAUGUGGAAGUUUUCGGAUGGAAACAUAUGGAUUUAGUGGCGGACGGGUGAGUAACGCGUGGGUAACCUGCCGUAUGCAGGGGGAUAACACUUAGAAAUAGGUGCUAAUACCGCAUAAGCGCACAGUGUCGCAUGACACAGUGUGAAAAGCCGAGACGGUAUACGAUGGACCCGCGUCUGAUUAGCUGGUUGGUGGGGUAGAGGCCUACCAAGGCGACGAUCAGUAGCCGGCCUGAGAGGGUGACCGGCCACAUUGGGACUGAGACACGGCCCAA